CGGGGUGUGGCUCAGCUUGGCUAGAGCGCUUGGUUCGGGACCAAGAGGUCGCAGGUUCAAAUCCUGUCACCCCGA
Molecule: transfer RNA, 75 nt
Filed under: Planctomycetales bacterium
Lineage: Bacteria; Pseudomonadati; Planctomycetota; Planctomycetia; Planctomycetales
Also listed under: 1 other name
Description: tRNA-Pro
Rfam family: tRNA
About the family: Transfer RNA (tRNA) molecules are approximately 80 nucleotides in length. Their secondary structure includes four short double-helical elements and three loops (D, anti-codon, and T loops).
Source: RNAcentral